CAUUCGUAUGAUGACGCGAUCAGAAUUGCGUACGAUAGCAGCUAGGAAGGGGUCGUGCGCAGAACAGAGAACAGACAGAAGAAGAAGAAACAACCUAUGAGGAUCGGUGUACUUACUACUAGGUGAAGCUAAGAAUCAUUUGCCAAAACCCCUUUAGUUUUGUGUACUUUAUUAGGGGUGUACGUGUGACGGUUUUGGUUGGAUUUGACCAAAAC
This 215-nucleotide long non-coding RNA is filed under the name Trifolium pratense (red clover). Its description in RNAcentral is "long non-coding RNA (TPRA_LNC011678)". The record is from RNAcentral. Lineage: Eukaryota; Viridiplantae; Streptophyta; Magnoliopsida; Fabales; Fabaceae.